GGUCAUGCAUCUAUAGGGUCAUAUAUGUUGAAGGUCAGAUAGAGUCAUAUGGGGUCAGUAUAAUAUAGGGUCGUAUGGGGUCAUAUAGGGUCAUAUAGGGUCAUAUGGGGUCACAUAUAGGGUCAGAUAUAGGGUCAUGUCAUAUAUAGGGUCAUAUAGGGUCAGAUAGAGUCAUAUGGGGUCAUAUAGGGUCGUAUAGGGUCAUAUAGGGUCAUAUAGGGUCAUAUAGGGUCAUAUGGGGUCACAUAUAGGGUCACAUAUAGGGUCAUGUCAUAUAUAGGGUCAUAUAGGGUCAUAUAGAUUCAUAUGGGGUCAUAUAGGGUCGUAUGGGGUCAUAUAGGGUCGUAUGGGGUCAUAUAGGGACACAUAGGGGGUCAUAUGGGGGUCAUAUGGGGGACAGAGAAGUCAUAGGGGUCAUAUAGGGUCAUACAGGGUCGUAUGGGGUCAUAUAGGGUCAUAUGGGGGUUAUAUAGGGUCAUAUAGGGUCAUAUGGGCUCAUAUAGGGUCAUAUGGGGUCAUAAAGGGACACAUAGGGGGUUAUAUGGGGUCAUAUAGGGUCAUAUAGGGUUGUAUGGGGUCAUAUGGGGUCAUAUAGGAGUCAUAUAGAGUCAUAUAGGGUCGUAUGGGGUCAUAUAGGGUCAUAUGGGGUCAUAUAGGGUCAUAUAGGGUCAUAUAGGGUCAGAUAUAGGGUCAGAUAUAGGGUCAGAUAUAGGGUCAGAUAUAGGGGUUGUAUGGGGUGGGGUUCUAUGGGGUUUCUAUGGGGUCUAUGGGGUCUAUGGAGCUCUAUGGGGUUUCUAUGGGGUCUAUGGGGGUCUAUGGGUCUCUAUGGGGUAUCUAUGGGGUCUAUGGGGCUCUAUGGGGUCUAUGGGGUCUAUGGGUCUCUAUGGGGUUCUAUGGGGUCUCUAUGGGGUUCUAUGGGGUCUCUAUGGGGUCUAUGGGGCUCUAUGGGGUCUAUGGGGUUUCUAUGGGGUUUCUAUGGGGUUUCUAUGGGGCUCUAUGGGGUUUCUAUGGGCUCUAUGGGGUCUAUGGGGUCUAUGGGGUUUCUAUGGGGUUUCUAUGGGGUCUAUGGGAUUUCUAUGGGGUCUAUGGGACUCUAUGGGGUGUAUAUGGGGUCUAUGGGGUUUAUGGGGCUCUAUUGGGUCUAUGGGGUUUCUAUGGGGUCUAUGGGGUCUAUGAGGCUCUAUGGGGUCUAUAGGGCUCCAUGGGGUUUCUAUGGGAUCUAUGGGGCUCUAUGGGGUGUCUAUGGGGCUCUAUGGGGUCUAUGGGGUUUCUAUGGGGUCUAUGGGGGUCUAUGGGUCUCUACGGGGUUUCUAUGGGGUCUAUGGGGUCUCUAUGGGGUUCUAUGGGGUUUCUAUGGGGUCUAUGGGGUCUUUGGGGCUCUAUGGGGUAUAUGGGGGCUCUAUGGGGAUCCAUGGGGUCUAUGGGGCUCUAUGGGGUUUCUAUGGGGUCUAUGGGGGUCUAUGGGGUCUUUAGGGCUCUAUGGGGAUCUAUGGGGUCUAUGGGGCUCUAUGGGGUUUCUAUGGGGUCUAUGGGUCUCUAUGGGGUCUAUGGGGUUUCUAUGGGGUUUCUAUGGGGCCUAUGGGGUCUAUGGGGUUCUAUGGGGCUCUAUGGGGUUUCUAUGGGGUCUGUGGGGGUCUAUGGGUCUCUAUGGGGUUUCUAUGGGGUCUAUGGGGUCUCUAUGGGGCUCUAUGGGGUUUCUAUGGGGUCUAUGGGGUCUUUGGGGCUCUAUGGGGUCUAUGGGGGCUCUAUGGGGAUCUAUGGGGUCGUAUGGGUGUCCGCUUCGAGGGGUGUGUCUCUGGGUUUGCGUAUGGGGUCCUCACUCGCGCGCGCGCUCAUAUAGAAGGUGUCUAUGGGGGUUUCUAUGGCACACUUAUGGGGUCUCAUGGGGUCUAAUAGAUGGUGGAUAAUAUGGGGUGCUAUGGGGCUCUAUGGGGUGUGUUUUACGUGGGCACUCUAUAGGGUGACGGUCACUGUGCGGCGAAGUGCUCGGUUUGUUGGUUUUAUGGGUCACGUUAUGCGGUUGUUUCUGUAUGGGG
Molecule: long non-coding RNA, 2036 nt
Organism: Coturnix japonica (Japanese quail)
Lineage: Eukaryota; Metazoa; Chordata; Aves; Galliformes; Phasianidae
Source: Ensembl